RNAcentral lists this ribosomal RNA (774 nucleotides) under uncultured Neocallimastigales. Its description in RNAcentral is "partial large subunit ribosomal RNA". It matches the Rfam family "Eukaryotic large subunit ribosomal RNA", at positions 23 to 647 of the family's 3401-position model. The record is from RNAcentral. Lineage: Eukaryota; Fungi; Neocallimastigomycota; Neocallimastigomycetes; Neocallimastigales.
AGAGAGAGACAUGCGCGCAUAUCAAUAAGCGGAGGAAAAGAAACUAACAAGGAUUCCCCUAGUAACGGCGAGUGAAGCGGGAAGAGCUCAAAUUUGAAAUCUUAAAGGGUUUCCCUUUACGAAUUGUAGUUUAAAGAAGUGUUUUCUGUUGAGGUUUUGGUAAAAGUUCUUUGGAAUAGGACAUCAUAGAGGGUGAGAAUCCCGUAUUUGACCUUUACUUUCAACUUUGUGAUACACUUUCAAAGAGUCGGAUUGUUUGGGAAUGCAGUCCAAAAUGGGUGGUAAAUUUCAUCUAAAGCUAAAUAUUGGCGAGAGACCGAUAGCGAACAAGUACCGUGAGGGAAAGAUGAAAAGAACUUUGAAAAGAGAGUUAAACAGUACGUGAAAUUGUCAAAAGGGAAGCGUUUGACACCAGUGUUGUUUUUCUGAAAAUCAAUUAAAGAACUGUUUAUGCUAAGCUGUUUAGACUUUAUCAGCUAACUGUUUAGUUUUGAGCUUUUCUUUAAUGCACUUUUCAGUUAACAAGUCAACAUCAAUUUCUUUUGCUGUAAAAAAGCUUGAGGAAGGUGGCUUGAGAUUCGUCUUAAGUGUUUAUAGCCUCUUGCCUAUGCAGUCGGAGAGAUUGAGGUCUGCAGCGUAGAUCCUUCGGGGCUAAAUGCAUUUGUGCUAAGUUAUAGCAUUUUAUAGACAACUUGUUGACUAUGACUUGUCUUGUAGCUUACUCGCUUAUGUUAUUUUACCUACGCUUAGGAUGUUGACGCAUGAGAUAUACGC